ACCCCUAAUCACCAUGCUCUCGAUGAAGUGCAUGAUAUAGAUGGCAUAAUUAAGCCUGCAAAAUGACAUAUUAUCAUAGUUUAUAAAAAUAACUCAAAGAACGAAUAAGUGUGCUCUAAAUAACUCAAUCAUAUAAUAUUUGGUAUGGACCAUUAUUUGGUAUAAUGCUACAAUAGCAUAAUAGCAUUGAUGAUUAUGUGGCAUGAUGGCAUGGCAUAUAUGUGUGUGAG
This 230-nucleotide long non-coding RNA is filed under the name Elaeis guineensis (African oil palm). RNAcentral's name for it is "long non-coding RNA (EGUI_LNC025924)". Lineage: Eukaryota; Viridiplantae; Streptophyta; Magnoliopsida; Arecales; Arecaceae. The record is from RNAcentral.